CCCAAGGCCCCACCUCCUCCCUCAGCGCAGCUUUGCAGGCGCUGGGGCUCCCAAAGGACGGAGCUUUGAAUCCACCUGGGAGGCUUAAGAGAAAGUGCUGAGUCCCCCAUGCCCUACCCCUGAGACUGCUGACAGGCAUCGCUGAGGGCUGCAGCUUUGGAAUCGGGCAUCUUCUGAGGAAGAGAAAGGCACCACAGCCACGGCACAGAAGACUAGGGGAGCCAGCUUCAGCUUUUGCCAAGUGUUUGGUUCAUCUGACGCUUGGUGAAGUCACAUGCAUCUGCUGCCCUGACAUCCAGGAGAAGGAACCAUCUGGCUCAAGAAUCCAUUACAGAAGAGGCCGUCAGCACCCGUCACUUGUGCCUCCCCAUGUCCAGCUGAGUUUCUUUCUCUCUGCUCAACUCCAAAGUGUUGAUGAGUCAAUCGAUGCGGCCCUUGCCACUGCGUCUCACUGGGAAUUCCGGUGAGGUGGCCGUCUGCCUGCGUGCGUGCCAGCUAGCUCCUCGAUCAAUGCACACUUCUUUAAAGUGCUGCAGGAUGCUGCUGGAAAGGAUUUGGUCUGGCUCAUUUGGCUGUUGAAAAAGGCCACGCCUGCUUCAAGUUCCUCCAGUACUCGGGGAGACGGGUGUCACUAUGCUGCCCAGGCUGGUCUCUCGUGGCUUCAAGAGAUAUUCCCACCUUGGUCUUCCAGAGCACUGGAAUUGAAGGUUUACAGAGGGUUCCCAGAUGCCGUCAGUGGAAUUCCCAACCUUGGAGGACAGAGAAAUUGCUCUCCAAUAAUGCCCAGUCUAAGAAGUAAUGUUUUCACGAAGAACUAGUGCACCUUCAGAAGACCUGCAGUGGAUAGGGAGUAUGUAAGGGGCUAAUUUUGAUGCCAGCAACCCUAGGAUUGGUUGCUGGGGAAAGGCAUAGAGUUCUAGGUGCAAUGUUUUAAGGGGAAGACUUACACUAUGAAGCUAGCCCAGAAGAGGGUGACUAGAGUACUGAGGAGUUUCUACCUGGAAGGGCUGUAAGACAACUGCUAUGUUGUGAGCGGCUCUAUGGAGAGGCCCAUGUGGAGGGAAGUGAGGAAGGCCUCUGGCCAACAGUCCAGGAGGAAGUGAAGCCCUCAGUCCAACAGCCUGUGUGGAACUGAACCCUGCAAACAACUCUGUGUGUGAGCUUGGAAGUGGAUCCAUAUUCAGUCAAACCUUGAGAUGGGACACCAUGCUCUGCUAACACUUGAUUGUGGUCCCAGCUAGGCCACUGCUGAAGUCUUGACUCAGAGAAACGAUGAUAUAGUAAAUGUUUGUUGUUUCAAGUUGGUAAGUUUUGGGAUAAUUUUUUAUAUAGUGAUAAUUUUUUAUAUACUUUAAAAUAACACAUUGCCCUAUCCUUUGGUUACACUUUUCUCUUGGAACUCUGCUUGCCCAUAUAUUACAGAAAUAUUUUUCAGAUCAUGGGCUGAAAGGUGGAUUAUGGAUGCAAUGUUUAAAUUUAGCAAUGUCAUUUAUGACUGUUCAUAUGAGCUUUGCUGCAUAAAAUGUUGAUAUUAAUUUGUUUCCCUUUAAGACAUUCUUAAUGUUUACCUCUCAGUAUUUUCUUUGUAAUCAAUUAAUGUAAGAUGAAUAUAGUUUGUAGGUUUUACCUUUCUUGAUUCGUAUACAAAACACACAACAUCCAACCAUUGUUAUUUAAAGAUUAUCUAGGAGGAGAUGAUGGAAACUCUGUUUUGGGCCACCUUCUUUACACAUUGGGUCUAUUUCCCCUAACUUGAGUAUAUAUUAAACUAGUGGGGGAUUGAGCUACAAAAAUGCUACUUGGUGAGAAUUUUAUUAAUACAAAUACUCAACUCUGAAGUUACGUUUUUGUGGAAAGUUAUCACUUUGGAAUUUGAAUUUUCUUGGAGCUAAGCCACUGGUAGUUGUAAAAGCUACACCUGUAAAUUUGCUCCCUAGAAGAUACUUUCGUUUAGUGACCACUUGUUUCUCUGUGGAUAAAUUCAAUUAUAAAUUACAAUCGAAUUGACGUUUUCAUAGCAUCCUUCACUCUCCAAGUAUCUCAAGUCCUCUGUGAAUUAUAAAGUAAUUACAGUGCUCAAAGGACAGUUUCAUAAUUGUGUCCAUGAGCACAGACUUUCCUCUAUGUUCGAGAAGGGCUCAUUCCCAGCCGGGAACAUUAAGUUGGAUUUUAUUGAGACUGGGGACUGCUAGUCCAGACAGCUGGGUGAUCCCCUGCGCUAUUUUGAAAAGUAUCCUGGGAUCUUUAAUUUCCACCUGGAUGGUCAGGGAGGUGAGAGAACGGCCCUCACUGGGUGUGACCUUGUAUCCCACUUGGGGUCUUGAACCAGGGGACCCCCAACCCCAGAGGUGAGACAUGCAAUAUGGUCAAUUAUACAACCUCUUAAUUAUUUUUUGCUGAAUCUCAAGUGAGUUCUCAUGGCCUGCUCUCUCCCGGGUGGGUUCAGAAGGUGGCCAAGAAGAAAUGUUAGAAAAUUCCCAGAGAGCCAUUUCAUGAGAAUGUUUUCUUUGGUUUAUACCUGAUACUGUUUUGUUUUUGUUGUUGCUUUUUAAUAACUUUUUUUUCUUUUUGUGGGGUCAUUUGCGUAAUACACAGGUGACGAACACUCAAGGUUAUUUGGUCGCAUGCCACCAAAUAACUUUCCUUUGGCACAUCUGCAGUGAAGGAGUCUUUCUGUCUGUCUCCUUUUGUUCCUCAUCAUCUAUUAGCUUGGCACAGCUGACUGAGCUGUUAAAUGAUUACUGCAUAUUUUGUACCUCACCUUGAGAGGCUUUGGUAUAAAAAGGUGCUAAUUAAGCUGAAGCUUCUGGCCCUCUUGCCUAUGUGGGCCCCAGGAAGCGAAGCAAAAAGACUUUAGGGAGCUGGAGCUUGUGUGUGUGUGUGUGUGUGUGUGUGUGUGUGUGUGUGUGUGUGUGUGUGUGUGUGUUUCGUUUUCAGCAUUUUGAGGAAUUGUUACUGGAACUUAUAAAAUAAUUGUUUUAGACCUUAUAAACACAGCAAAUUCUUCAAACUACGUAUGAGGCUGACUCAAAAAGCCACGUAAAGGUAGCUUGGCGAAUCAACUAACUGCUGACCAGUUUGUGGUGAUCGUAAGUCUAUAUAUGCUGGAUUUGGCGAUCGUAAGUCUAUAUAUGCUGGAUUUGAAUAUUUUCUGUAUUUAAAGAAAAAUAAGUACAUUCUAAGAAUAGUUGUCAUCUCCCUCUGUAGACUUGCCCCGUAGAUAUUUGAAAUGGGGAUUAACAUAUUUAAGAGUAGCAGGAAGUGCUAUUUCAUCAGUGUCUAGAAUGGGAGGCGAAUUCAGUCCCUGCCUGGACUUGUUGACUAGCUCGCUGGGUUGUGAAAACCACGGCAUUCUCCUGGGAAUUUGUUCCAGGGCACUGACUGCAUUUCUUCUGAAGCUAAAGCACUUAGCUUUGCUUCCAUGCCUUUUAAUAUAAUUUGUAGGCUUCAGCAGAUUUCUAAAGUACACCACUUGAUAUCUUUCACAGCUCAAGGUAAAUUCUGCAGCACGAACUUAUAGAAUUUUUUUCUUUUACCUGGGGUGAGAACAUACCUUUUCCUAGUGCUAUUUUUUUUUUCUGGGCUACCUUUCAUCUGUUUACAUGAAUUCCACUUCUUCUCGCUGUGUUAAAGAAAUCCCCUAAGCUGUCUACAUAGGUGUGAAACUUUUGGUUGUGAUUUCCUUGAAGUUAGUUGGAACUGGAACAUUUUUUUCUGUGUCCUGAAUGGCUCACACAUUCCCUAACACAGAAUGGAUACUCAGCGAACAGUUGUUGAAUCAGUGAACGGUAAUGGCUCAGUUCUGUCAGACAAUGGAUUGAAUUAUUUUUACACCUUUAAUUCACUCAUGGACUGAAUUAACCUACUCAUGGGCUGUUUGGGGCAUCAAGUGAUAUUUAUACAUUUCUGAAGAAUGUGGAAUCACCAGGGUUAACAGUGUUUGCAGGUGGCGUUCGAUUGCAGGGGCCCAAGGAACCACGGCUGAAUUCCGCAUGGACAUAGGCCAUUUUCCACCAGCAAAGUUAUGAGAACUUUUUUUGUUUUGGUAACUGAUGUGAAAUUUUCAGUUCCGAAUGACAUCCAGAAACUCUCCUUCUGCAGCAGAUGAAUGUUUUGAGGGAAUUUGAGAGGAGGGUUUGUCUUUUAUCUCUCACCUGCACGAGGACACUUGCAGUCUCUUAAGAGAUGUUCUCUUUUUGAAAUGGUGGAAGGACAGAAGCAUCAGCCAGCCCGUUCAUGCUUGGGGACAGAGAGGGAGCUCAGAGCUUAGGGGAGCACAGGUCACUCUAAUGAAUGACAGCUGUAAUAAUAAAGACAUGCCAUCCAUGCUACUUUUUGCAGAAACCAGAAACAUCCUUGUGAAAGUUAAAGGGAAAAGAAAAACGUGUACUUUGAGGGGGGUGUUAACGGGGGACAGGAGGUGGCGACAUAAAAGACUGGUUUAAUGUGUCUCGUUGUAGCCCCUAAGGCUUUACCUGACCCCAUCACUGUCACAACACCUUCUUCGGGACUGACAGUCUUGGUAAUUGAUGGGUUGGUGGGGGCUUUUUUCUGCAAACACAUUAAGGCAGGAGGGAAUACUCUGGCCCCCACCUCCCCACGCCUGGCACGGGGGACCUGGAGGCGAGCAGACACCAGGCCCGGCGGUGUUGGGGGCAGAAGGGAUCAAUUCUGUCAACCAGACUGCCCAGCUACUGUCAGGCACUGGGACCCUUCACCUGCUCCUUGGAGUCAUUAGAACUCCCAAAUCUCUUUGCAGGCCUUUUCUAUUAGACACAUACUCCCAUGUUUUGAUUUUUUGCUCCCAAAGUCAUUUUUUUAAAUAAUUACCUGCAUCGAACCACACUUACCAUCUGUGGGCUGAGAGCGGGCAAAUGAUUUAUUAGUCUUGGUUUCUAACGGUGCUGAGCAGCUUGGGAUCGAUCUUGCUGGUGACACACUCGGCAGAUGCACCGAUGGGUGGGAGGGUCAAUGUCAGGAUGAAGCUUCUUGCGGAGCUGACAUGCACGUGGGGACCCCAGGUGUGGUGUUUAGUUGGUAGACUGUGACAUUGCAAAAGUGGAGUCUCAAGCCAUGGCGGAUAACAGGCGGCAGAAAAAGCAGUGAGGGAGCUUCUUGGGAUGUUUUACUUUAAGUAGAAAGUAAAACUGUGCAUGAAAAGAGGGGACAGAGUAUGCAACCCAAAUCAUCGCCAAGGCUCUUGGUUUCUUCUGUGCACACUGCCUGCCUUGUAUCCAAGCGUUUGACUGUGCAGAGGCCAGUCAUACUGGGGGACCCUGAGCACUACCCUUGGCAUUUGGGUAUAUCCUGAUCAAUAUAGCCAUUUCCACUGCUUGACAUUAUGUUUUGGGGGCUAGUUUUUUAAAGAUCAAUGAUUGAAUUGCUGCUCGGCUGAUUGGAUAUGUCUUCUCGGAGACUCACCUGUCCUCCCCGAAGAGAUGCUGACUACACAACAGCAGUCACUGUGCUGGGCACACGGGCAGUGUUCAGGAGACGUGGCUUCCUUUCUUCUUCUUUCAUUUCUUCCUGCCCAGAACAGCAAGGCUGAGACUGAUAAUAAAAUUCCUGGAACAUGGAGAAACUCAUGUGGGGAGAAAAGAAGAAAUGUAUUGUGACUUCCAUGGGCUUUUGGCACUUUUGGACCUCCCUCCUCCUCUUUUCCAUAAAAAAUGUAUUUUAAGACAUAUUGGUAUAAAGAUGAGAUUAUUCAUAGUACAUAUUAAAAUGUUUUCCCCUACCUAAAAGUUUGUGGUUUUAUUGUCUUCUUGUUUUUAAAAUAAAUUAAAAUAUUUUCAAAGGCCGUUAGAAGAACCGUGGGCCCUGGGCUUGGUGCCUGCUGUGCCUCAUAAAUCAGGCCUGGAGAAGAGACAUCAGUGACAUUUUAGUGUCAGGUAGAAAAUGUAAAAUAUCAUGAUUGUUUUCCAAUGAUAUACUAAGUAAGACACAUAAGAUGUGUUUUAAUUUUUUUCUUGAUGUAUGCUGUUGUCUUUUAGUUAUAAAUGCUGAGUACUGUUAAAAGAUAAACUGAGGCACAAUAAAAUUUGAAGAGUUUAUUUGAGCAAACAAUGAUUUGUUACCGAAACACCAGGGGUUCAUCUGGGUCCUGCUGCUUGCCACACAGAAAGCCAAUCACUGAG
Molecule: long non-coding RNA, 6137 nt
Filed under: Homo sapiens (human)
Lineage: Eukaryota; Metazoa; Chordata; Mammalia; Primates; Hominidae
Description: long non-coding RNA NONHSAT172045.1
Source: RNAcentral